UUGAUAAUGAAAACGAGAUAAUACGAUGUCGACUCGUAUAAAACUGCAAAGUGUCAGAUUCUGAGCGAAACGAGAGACGUAUUGGUCUAAGUACUAUAUUUUUCUUUGCGUGUGUGUGUGUGUGUGUGUCUGUUAACGACUUUUCUACCAGAAAUGUUGCUCCUAUCAAA
Molecule: non-coding RNA, 170 nt
Organism: Cinara cedri
Lineage: Eukaryota; Metazoa; Arthropoda; Insecta; Hemiptera; Aphididae
Source: the annotation of a GenBank genome assembly